UUCGCCCUUAGAGUUUGAUCCUGGCUCAGGACGAACGCUGGCGGCGUGCCUAACACAUGCAAGUCGAGCGAAUGAAGUUCCUUCGGGAACGGAUUUAGCGGCGGACGGGUGAGUAACACGUGGGCAACCUGCCUCAUAGAGGGGAAUAGCCUUCCGAAAGGGAGAUUAAUACCGCAUAAGGUUGUAGUACCGCAUGGUACAGCAAUUAAAGGAGUAAUCCGCUAUGAGAUGGGCCCGCGGCGCAUUAGCUAGUUGGUGAGGUAACGGCUCACCGAGGCGACGAUGCGUAGCCGACCUGAGAGGGUGAUCGGCCACAUUGGGACUGAGACACGGCCCAGACUCCUACGGGAGGCAGCAGUGGGGAAUAUUGGGCAAUGGGCGAAAGCCUGACCCAGCGACGCCGCGUGAAGGACGAAGGCCUUCGGGUUGUAAACUUCUUUGGGGAGGGACGAAAAUGACGGUACCUCCAGAACAAGCCACGGCUAACUACGUGCCAGCAGCCGCGGUAAUACGUAGGUGGCAAGCGUUAUCCGGAUUUACUGGGUGUAAAGGGCGCGCAGGCGGCCCCAAAAGUCAGAUGUGAAAGAUCAAGGCUUAACUUUGACAUGUCAUCUGAAACUUUGGGACUUGAGUAUCAGAGGGGAAAGCGGAAUUCCUGGUGGAGCGGUAAAAUGCGCAGAGAUCAGGAGGAACACCGGUGGCGAAGGCGGCUUUCUGGCUGACAACCGACGCUGAGGCGCGAAAGCGUGGGGAGCAAACAGGAUUAGAUACCCUGGUAGUCCACGCCGUAAACGAUGAUUGUUGGGUGUAGGGGGGGUUGAUUCCCUCUGUUCCGAAGAUAAACGCGAUAAGUAAUUCACCUGGGGGGGGCGGCCGCAAAGGCUAAAACUCAAAAGGAAAGAACGGGGGCCCGCACACGCAGUGGAGUAUGUGGGUUUAAUUCGAGGCAACGCGAAGAACCUUACCAGGGUUUGACAUCCCGCGCUCGGGGUAGAGAUACCCUUUUCCCUUCUGGGACGCGGAGACAGGUGGUGCAUGGUUGUCGUCAGCUCGUGUCGUGAGAUGUUCGGUUAAGUCCGGCAACGAGCGCAACCCUCGUUGUCAGUUGCCAUCAUUUGGUUGGGCACUCUGGCGAGACUGCCGUUGACAAAACGGAGGAAGGUGGGGAGGACGUCAAAUCAUCAUGCCCCUUAUGUCUUGGGGUACACACGUACUACAAUGGGCGUUACAACGGGCAGCGAAACCGCGAGGUGGAGGGAAUCCCCAAAGGCGCCCUCAGUUCGGAUUGCAGGCUGAAACUCGCCUGCAUGAAGCCGGAAUUGCUAGUAAUGGCAGGUCAGCAUACUGCCGUGAAUACGUUCCCGGGCCUUGUACACACCGCCCGUCA
Molecule: ribosomal RNA, 1387 nt
Filed under: uncultured bacterium
Lineage: Bacteria
Description: 16S ribosomal RNA
Rfam family: Bacterial small subunit ribosomal RNA
Source: RNAcentral